RNAcentral lists this ribosomal RNA (274 nucleotides) under uncultured bacterium. RNAcentral describes it as "partial 16S ribosomal RNA". It matches the Rfam family "Bacterial small subunit ribosomal RNA", at positions 523 to 796 of the family's 1533-position model. The record is from RNAcentral.
AUACGGAGGGUACAAACGUUAAUCGGAAUUACUGGGCGUAAAGCGCACGUAGGUGGUUUAUUAAGUGGGAUGUGAAAGCCCCGGGCUUAACCUGGGAACUGCAUUCCAAACUGAUGAACUAGAGUACGAUAGAGGGAGGUAGAAUUCAGAGUGUAGCGGUGAAAUGCGUAGAUAUUCUGAGGAAUACCAGUGGCGAAGGCGGCCUCCUGGAUUGAUACUGACACUGAGGUGCGAAAGCGUGGGGAGCAAACAGGAUUAGAUACCCCAGUAGUCC